This 220-nucleotide long non-coding RNA is filed under the name Panax ginseng (ginseng). Its description in RNAcentral is "long non-coding RNA (PGIN_LNC016000)". The record is from RNAcentral. Lineage: Eukaryota; Viridiplantae; Streptophyta; Magnoliopsida; Apiales; Araliaceae.
ACGGGUAUUAACAUGGAAAAAGUCGAACAGAUAGUAAACCACUUUGCAAUUAGUUUUACCAAUGAUUGAAUCCCAAGAUAUUAUGGAGCAAAUAUCACUGCUUGUACCACUAAUAUUAAGCAUAUAUUUAAGGCUAGAAAAAGUCACCCCUGCAAUAUACUUGCUGCAAAAACUGCUAAAAAGAUUCAACUUUAGUAGGAGAGGUUCAAUGUGAUACAAG